Molecule: ribosomal RNA, 477 nt
Filed under: uncultured bacterium
Lineage: Bacteria
Description: partial 16S ribosomal RNA
Rfam family: Bacterial small subunit ribosomal RNA
Source: RNAcentral
GAUGAACGCUGGCGGCGUGCUUAACACAUGCAAGUCGAACGGGAAUUAUUUUAUUGAAACUUCGGUCGAUUUAAUUUAAUUCUAGUGGCGGACGGGUGAGUAACGCGUGGGUAACCUGCCUUAUACAGGGGGAUAACAGUCAGAAAUGGCUGCUAAUACCGCAUAAGCGCACAGAGCUGCAUGGCUCAGUGUGAAAAACUCCGGUGGUAUAAGAUGGACCCGCGUUGGAUUAGCUGGUUGGUGGGGUAACGGCCCACCAAGGCGACGAUCCAUAGCCGGCCUGAGAGGGUGAACGGCCACAUUGGGACUGAGACACGGCCCAGACUCCUACGGGAGGCAGCAGUGGGGAAUAUUGCACAAUGGGGGAAACCCUGAUGCAGCGACGCCGCGUGAAGGAAGAAGUAUCUCGGUAUGUAGACUUCUAUCAGCAGGGAAGAUAGUGACGGUACCUGACUAAGAAGCCCCGGCUAACUACGU